AAGUGAAUCAAAUUGCCAUUCUCGGCAUCUGAUUAGGUUAAUCUUAUUGUGUUGCAGGCAGACAUAUUGUUGCGAGGGUACUAUGGAUGGAACUCGCGGCGUGCUAUCCAGGUUCUCGAUCAAGUUUUUCCAAAGGUAUUAUGAGGGUGUUUGGGAGUGUGUUAGUUGUUGCUUUUCAAAUAGCUUUCGUGUCGAAAAGCAUGUCAAUAAUAUUUUUUUAUUUUUUAAAAAUCAUUUUUGAUAUCAGCACAUCAAAACAAUCAAGAAAGUACAAACCGCACUUAAUUUUAAUAAAAAAAAAAAUUUGAAAUUUUACAAAAAGCUGUUUGGACCGCAUUGCCAAACAGCCUCUAUAUCGAUGUGCUAAUUUUUUAGGAGCGGAUCACACAUGAAAACUGAUCAUCACAGAGGAAGCUAGUGAAAGUUUCAUCAUUUUAAAUGGGCUCACUGUAAGAUCUAUUUGAGGAAACG
Molecule: long non-coding RNA, 471 nt
Filed under: Populus tremula
Lineage: Eukaryota; Viridiplantae; Streptophyta; Magnoliopsida; Malpighiales; Salicaceae
Description: long non-coding RNA (PTRE_LNC000423)
Source: RNAcentral